CAGGUGCCAGCCAGGACACCUGAACCAACUUGGAGCUCAGGAACCCAGGAGGGGAUUGGAGAGAGUGAGGAGACUCCGUGGUCCACAAUGAACGCUCCUUCCCCAUCCAAAAAAAUCCCCCAGCCCAGUUUUUGGGCAGAUGCCAGACUUUUAUUCUGAAGCGUGGGCCACAACCUAUGAGGUAAUCUUUGGAGCUUCAUUCUGAGGCGGAAUCCCAUUGGCCAGUUGGGGAAGCCCCUCCCAGGAUUCCUGGCGCUCCGCCUUCCCCAAAGCCUAUAAAGGCGCAGGUCCCCGCCUCGGCAGCCACGGGACACCUGCAUCUGCUAACAAGACUGGAAGCAGGUGAGGCACACAGAGCGGGAGGCCCGCAGCUGCGUGGGAGGAGGGGUGGUCCGAGGGACGUGGGAUGCCGGGAAUGAGGCUGGUUUGCAGGUCGGCGCAUGGACAUUUUCCCAGAAAGGGACAGAGACGGCGAAGUUUGACGGUCUGGAAAGCAGAGACCAGCGGGGCUGACUGCUUGGGAGCACGAGGGACAGCUCUCCACCGACCGAAGGAGGAGAAUGCUAUUUAUUUCAGCACCAAGUAUCCAGACAGCGCCUCUCGGGAGGUCCGAGAAGUGAACUGCGAUCUGUUUCAGCACCAGGGCUCAGGACAGUUCCCAGCGGGCUCCGUUUCGGCGCCAGAACCCUGGACAGCUCCCCCAGUAGAGAUGGGGUUUCACCAUGUUGGCCAGGCUGGUCUCAAACUCUUGACCUCUUCAUCUGCCCGCCUCAGCCUCCCAAAGUGCUGGGAUUACAGGCAUGAGUCACCGCGCCUGGCCCAAGUCCGGGAUUUUCAACAGGACGUGGGUGUUACUGUGCCCACGUGACAUUUGAGGAACCCAAGGCCCCGAGAAAGGCAGAAAAAUAACCCACGCAGGGGCUCUCAGCCCACAAGUGAAGCUAUCCUGCCUCUCUCCAGGAGAACCGGGACUGGAAAACAGGGAGUCAGUAGAGAGGCAGGAAACUCAGGUGUCACAGCUUGGCUCAGGCUGUAGUGCAAUGGCAUGAUCUCAGCUCACCACAACCUCCGCCUCCCGGGUUCAAGUGAUUCUCCUGCCUCAGCCUCCUGAGUAGCUGGAAUUACAGGUAUGUGCCACCACGCUGGGCUAAUUUUGUAUUUUUAGUAGAGAUGGGGUCUCUCUAUGUUGGUCAGGCUGGUCGUGAACUCCCGACCUCAGAUCCGCCCGCCUCGGCCUCCCAAAGUGCUGGGAUUACAGACGUGAGCCACCGCGCCCGGCCAGCCCUUAUUGAUUCUUAUUAAAGCCACACUAACCUUUUAUUUCCCCCCAAAGACCCCUGGGAGCCCUCAGUUUUUCCUGGCAGUUUCAUCUUUGUACCCCCCGCCUCCCCACACACAUGCCUAGCUCAGUGCUGACAUCCAAUAUUCACUUUGGAUAUAAAUGCUUGUGCCUGAGCCUAUCACCUUCAUCAGACACAAAAUCCUGGAGGCCACACACCCCUGUAAAGAUAAGCCAUUAUCCACAGAGGUCCAACCAACUUACCACCCUCUCCCAGCCACCCUGAAGGACCCAGCUUGCAGCUGCCUACUCAAUGGCUUUAGAAACUAAAAAAGGUGAAUGAGUUUCCAUCACUGCCCUCCUGGGCUUUGCUGUUAUGGCUGGUUAACUUGACAGAAGAACAUAUUAUACUUCAUUUCGUGCCGUUGUCUUGUUGGAAAAAAAGUGACAGCUGGGUGCAGUGGUGCACACUGUAGUCACAGCUACUCAGGAGAAUUGCUUGAGCACAGGAGUUGGAGUCUACACUGAGCUGUGAUCGCAUCACUACACUCCAGCCUGAACAACAGAGCAAGACCCUCUUAAAAAAUAUGUGAGAGAGGCUGGGCACGAUGGCUCACGCCUGUAAUCCCAGCACUUUGGGAGGCCAAGGCAGGCGGAUUGCUUGAGCUCAGGAGUUCAGGACCAACCUGGCCAACAUGGUGAAACCCUGUCUCUACCAAAAAUACAAAAAAAAAAAAAAAAAAAAAAAUGUCGAACGUGGUGUCACGAGCCUGUAGUCCCAGCUUCUAAGGAGGCUAAGGUGAGAGGAUCGCCUGAGCUUGGAAGGCAAAGGUUGCAGUGAGCCGAGAUCGCAUCACUGCACUCCAGCCUGGGUGACAGAGCGAGACCCCAUCUCAAAACAAAACAAAACAAAACAAAACAAAACAAAACAAAACAAAACGGGCAUGAUGGCUCACAUCUGUAAUCCCAGCACACUUUGGGAGGCCAAGGCAGGUGGAUCACUAGGUCAGGAGAUCGAGACCAUCCUGGCUAACAUGGUGAAACCCUGUCUCUGCUAAAAAUACAAAAAAAAAAAAUUAGCUGGCCGUGGUGGCAUGAGCCUGUAGUCCCAGCUACUCGGGAGGCUGAAGCAGGAGAAUUGCUUGAACCCAGGAGGCGGAGGUUGCAGUGAGCUGAGAUCAUGCCACUGCACUCCAGCCUAGGCAAUAGAGCAAGACUCUGUCUCAGGAAAAAAAAAAAAAAAAAAAAAAGUGUGAGAGAGACCCCCU
Molecule: RNA transcript, 2547 nt
Organism: Symphalangus syndactylus (siamang)
Lineage: Eukaryota; Metazoa; Chordata; Mammalia; Primates; Hylobatidae
Source: RefSeq, a predicted model, not a curated record